UACGUAGGGGGCAAGCGUUGUCCGGAAUCAUUGGGCGUAAAGCGCGUGUAGGCGGCUUGGUAAGUCUGCUCUGAAAGCCCGGGGCUCAACCCCGGGAGGCGGGUGGAUACUGUCAAGCUCGAGUCCGGAAGAGGAGUGUGGAAUUCCGGGUGUAGUGGUGAAAUGCGUAGAGAUCCGGAGGAACACCAGUGGCGAAGGCGACACGCUGGGCCGUACCUGACACUGAGGCGCGAUAGCAUGGGGAGCAAACAGG
This 253-nucleotide ribosomal RNA is filed under the name uncultured bacterium. Its description in RNAcentral is "partial 16S ribosomal RNA". It matches the Rfam family "Bacterial small subunit ribosomal RNA", at positions 524 to 776 of the family's 1533-position model. The record is from RNAcentral.